UGGUAUGUAGCUCAGUGGCAAAGCACUUGCCUAGCAAGUGCAACGUUCUGGGUUCAAUCCCCAGUACCAA
RNAcentral lists this transfer RNA (70 nucleotides) under Dipodomys ordii (Ord's kangaroo rat). It matches the Rfam family "tRNA". From Rfam's summary of the family: Transfer RNA (tRNA) molecules are approximately 80 nucleotides in length. Their secondary structure includes four short double-helical elements and three loops (D, anti-codon, and T loops). Further hydrogen bonds mediate the characteristic L-shaped molecular structure. tRNAs have two regions of fundamental functional importance: the anti-codon, which is responsible for specific mRNA codon recognition, and the 3' end, to which the tRNAs corresponding amino acid is attached (by aminoacyl-tRNA synthetases). tRNAs cope with the degeneracy of the genetic code in two manners: having more than one tRNA (with a specific anti-codon) for a particular amino acid; and 'wobble' base-pairing, i.e. permitting non-standard base-pairing at the 3rd anti-codon position. The record is from Rfam by way of RNAcentral. Lineage: Eukaryota; Metazoa; Chordata; Mammalia; Rodentia; Heteromyidae.